RNAcentral lists this ribosomal RNA (324 nucleotides) under uncultured Wolbachia sp. RNAcentral describes it as "bacterial SSU rRNA". It matches the Rfam family "Bacterial small subunit ribosomal RNA", at positions 9 to 343 of the family's 1533-position model. Lineage: Bacteria; Pseudomonadati; Pseudomonadota; Alphaproteobacteria; Rickettsiales; Anaplasmataceae. The record is from RNAcentral.
GAGUUUGAUCCUGGCUCAGAAUGAACGCUGGCGGCAGGCUUAACACAUGCAAGUCGAACGGGGUUAUAUUGUAGCUUGCUAUAGUAUAACUUAGUGGCAGACGGGUGAGUAAUGUAUAGGAAUCUACCUAGUAGUACGGAAUAAUUGUUGGAAACGGCAACUAAUACCGUAUACGCCCUACGGGGGAAAGAUUUAUCGCUAUUAGAUGAGCCUAUAUUAGAUUAGCUAGUUGGUAAGGUAAUGGCUUACCAAGGCAAUGAUCUAUAGCUGAUCUGAGAGGAUGAUCAGCCACACUGGAACUGAGAUACGGUCCAGACUCCUACG